GACGAACGCUGGCGGCGUGCUUAACACAUGCAAGUCGAACGGAAAGGCCUCUUUCUGGGGGUACUCGCGUGUCGCACGGGGGAGUAACACGUGAGUAACCCGUCCUUUUCUUUGGGGUAUCUCUAGGAAACUGGGGCUCAUAUCGCAUAUGGGCUCCUGUUUUGCGUUGGGGGUUGGAAAGUUUCGGCGGUUGGGGAUGGACUCGCGGCUUAUCAGCUUGUUGGUGGGGUAGUGGCUUACCAAGGCUUUGACGGGUAGCCGGCCUGAGAGGGUGACCGGCCACAUUGGGACUGAGAUACGGCCCAGACUCCUACGGGAGGCAGCAGUGGGGAAUAUUGCACAAUGGGUGGAAGCCUGAUGCAGCAACGCCGUGUGCGGGAUGACGGCCUUCGGGUUGUAAACCGCUUUCGCUCAUGACGAAGCUUUGUGUGACGGUAGUGGGUAAAGAAGCACCGGCUAACUACGUG
This 467-nucleotide ribosomal RNA is filed under the name uncultured bacterium. RNAcentral's name for it is "partial 16S ribosomal RNA". It matches the Rfam family "Bacterial small subunit ribosomal RNA", at positions 28 to 507 of the family's 1533-position model. The record is from RNAcentral.